UUUUGAAGAUAGCGGUCCCAGUUGGAGCAAAAGAAAAUAAGUUAUGGACUAGCACUAGUAGUGAAGACGUAGUGGUGAAGAGGGAAGAGAUAGCGAAGGCUGUAGAGAUUUUGAUGGGAAGUGACCAAGAGAGCAAAGCAAUGAGGGUGAGAGCAAAGAAACUUGGUGAUGCUGCCAAGAGGACUAUAGAAGAAGGUGGAGAUUCUUACAACAACUUGAUUCAGUUGAUUGAUGAUCUGAAAUCAUUGAAGAAAUCUAAACCACUUGAUGAGAAAGUGAUUAGAUAAGUCAAAUGAAGGAGUAGUGGUUGAUGCUUUAGGAGAUGUAUCUGAUGAAGACUUUCAAUAAGAUGAAACAACAUCCCCUUUUUUUUCUUUUCUUUUUUUCUUUUCCAGCUUAUGUUUGCUUUUAUAUGUAUUCCAAUAAACAACAUCCAAUUCUUGUGCAUUGCAAUGAGGAUAAAGGAAGUUAGUUUUUAGUUUUUACUAAGCCUUUUUCAUAUUAAGAUAGGAAAAGAUGUGAUGAUGAAUUAAAUUUUGUUGUCUACUUGGUUUGCUUGAUAAUAUUUACCAUCUUGUAGUUGGUGCGUGUAAGGGAGGGAAUCAUCCAUUCAUCUCUUUCUCCAUUUUGAUUGGGCAAAGGAAAUUUGGUUGCGUUUGAUGAGGUGGACGAAUCGGUGGUUGUUAAUUUCUCCGAAUUUGUUUAUUCAUUGGGAGUGUUGGAACUUGGGAGGCUACCAUAAGAAGGUUAGGAAAGGGUGGAGAUUGAUUUGGCAAGCGGCGAUAUGGAUUAUUUGGAAAGCACGAAAUGAUCGUGUUUUCACUGGUGGUGGUAAAGGAGUUGACGAUCUAGUUGAAGAGAUUCAACUACUUUCGUGGAGGUGGCUUUUGAGUAGAACGGAUUUUCCGGCUUGUUUGCUUUACGAAUGGCAAUGGUAUCUGGAGGAGUGCUUGAGAAGGUAAGGGUGUGGGGGCUGUUUUCGAGGUGUUUCGUCGCUUGGAAUAUUUUGGUGUCUGUUCUGCUGCUCGGAAGCUGCGUGAACAGCAGCUGUGUGGUGCUGCUGGUUUCGGCAGUUGGCAGCAGCAGAGGUAAGGUUUUUUCUGUUCCCUGCUAUCUGUUUUUUUGGGGCCAAGGGGGUCUGAUUUGCUGCUGUGUGCAUCUGUUUGUGUAAGGGCAGGGGUAUGGGACUGAAUUCUGAUGGUGUUAAUUGGAUUUCAGAAUCAUAGCUUGUGCUGUCUUAGGCUUGACAGUUUUAUUUCGAGUAAAUAGUCAAUUGCCCCCCUGAAAUUGUAAUUUUUGUCAAAAACCCCCUUGAAUUUUGCAAAACGUCAAAAACCCCCCUGAAAUUGUUACACGUAUUGGCGGAAUCCUUGUAUCGUUUUUCUCCACCUCUAAGCGUCUUGCUAAGAGUUCCGGUUCCAAUAGAAUUUUCCGUUUCAAAAAAAGAAAAAUUUUAUGAUUUCAUUGGUAAUAUUAAUCUAUCACGUAUAUAUUUUAGGGUUAAAUAUGAUUUUGGUCCCUAUAAAUAUACCAACUUUUCGUUUUAGUCCCUCUAAAAUUUUCCAUCUUCAUUUUUGGUCCCUCCUUUAAAGUAAACUCAUAUGUAGAAUUCAUAUUUGUGAAUAAAAUUUUGCAGAAAAAUUCAUAAUAUUAUAAGAAUCUCUCCCAAAAAAAUUUAGAAUUUUUUAACAAAACAUGAAUUUAAUAUGAAUUUUUAUAUUUUUUAUGGUUAAAAAUUCAUAUUAAAUUUAUGUUUUGUUAAAAAAUUCUAAUUUUUUUUGGGAAAUAUUUUUACAAUAUUAUACACAUUUCUGCACAAUUUCAUUAAAAAUACUAAAAUUAAUUUAAAAUAUUUGGUAUAUUUAUAGGGAUCAAAAAUAUAUUUAACCCUAUAUUUUAUACACUGUAUAAUUCUGGGGCAAGUAAAGUAUAUGUAUAAAUGGUAAAUCUUACCUAGAUUCCAUUAAUCCAAUAAAUCAAGACUACAUGAGUUAGUUAUGGCUUCUGUUAUCCACAUUAGCAGACAUUUAAUUGAACGUAUUGCUCACAAUUCACAAACAAUUCAGGCUCAAAUUUUAGUUAAUGAAAGAUCAUGGUUCCACUCAAGUAAAAUGGCCCAGCUUGGUAAAGCAUAUGAUGAAGCUGGUCUAACUGUAUUUAUUUUUCAUAGCCUAAAAUCACAAUGCCAAACUUAUAGCUAAGACUACCCUUAAUUAUCCAUAUCCAUAGCCCAUAUACAAUUCCACCUUGGUUAGUAGCAUUACCAAUGAAUGAAGGUAUUCCAAAGUCAGCCAGUAUUACUAAAUAGAAACCAUGCUUCAAUUUUCAAUUCUACUAUAACCUACAAAAGCAUCAGAGUUUUCCCACGACACACCCAGCAUCAGAGUUCAAUUCUCACCUUAGCACCGAUACUUUUGAUUAAAGACGUGUUUGGUGUCAGACACAGUGUGAUCAGUUAUGUUAUUUUUUCAAUUGCUACCGUUGACGAUGUGUCAUUGUCGUGUUUGAUGUCCGUAUUUGUGUCAUUGUUUCAUAGAUUAGCGUACAUUUUUUGUCAUUAUGCAAUUUUAUUAAUAGUUUUCUCAUAAGUUAUGAGUCAUAACACACCCUAUAUCAGAGCUCAAUAUUUACAAUUUUUUUGACAUAAUUCAAUCUUAUGCGCAACGCACGGGUCUUAAUUUAGUUUUUUUUUUCUCUUCAAAAAAUUAGAUGAAAACCUGUGCGUUGCGUGCACGGAAGAAUAUUUUUAGCUUAUUAUAUUUAAAAGUCGUAUACUGAGGUUUCUGGACUUGAAAAAAAAAAUAUAGGACGUAUCACGCAAAUAAUUGGUCCGGUACUCGAUGUAGUUUUUCCACCAGGGAAGAUGCCUAAUAUUUACAACGCUCUGAUAGUUCAAGGUCGAGAUACUGUUGGUCAAGAAAUUAACGUAACUUGUGAAGUACAACAAUUAUUAGGAAAUAAUAGAGUUAGAGUUGUAGCUAUGAGUGCUACAUAUGGUCCUUUUCUUGUUGUUUGAUACUUAUUUUCUUGCUUUUUUCUUGGAAUAUUUUUAUCAAAGUGACGAACCACAAGUAUGAAAUUAGUAUCAAAGGAUUGUAGCCUAAAAUAAAUGAAAGAAACAAUUGUUUUCUUUUAAACAUACACUUGGACACUGGGCAAGUGUUUGCAAGUGCUCUUGAUCAACCCCUUAAAAUGUGUAUGAAAGUAAAACACAAAAAGAACAUAUAAUCACACACAGAUAGUGAACUAAUUAGAUAUAAAAAUGUUAUUUAUCAACUAAUUAAAUAAAUUCAAAGGUGUCUCUGUUUGUGUGGCGCGUUCUUCGUAACAGACUUCCUACUAAAGAUAAUUUGGUGCGGUAGAGUGUCCUUCAACCUAAUGAUACGGCGUGUGCAACAGGGUGUGGGAAUUCAGUAACGGAAAAAUAUCUAUUUCUAGUAUGUGAAAUCUUCGGUACUCUUUAGUGUACUCUUUAGUCCCAUGUGUGGCACUGGUUUAGUAUUUCCUCGGUUCCUUCUGGUGAGCAUCGAUAUCAUUUCCUUCAGUUUACAAAUAUGGCGGGAAUGCUAAGAUUUUCUCAUUUAUUCCUAAUGAUUAUUUGGUUUGCUUCCCUUUGGAUGAUAUGGAAGGAAAGAAAUAAAUUUGUCUUUCAAAAUAAGGCUUCUAAUCCUUCUAUUCUCAUUGAAAAAGUUAAGCUAAAUUCAUUCUUGUGGUUGAAAUCAUAACAUGUGUCAUUUAGUUAUAGUUAUCAUGACUGGUGGAAACAUCCGCUCCUUUAUAUGGGUGUCACGUGUAAUCUUUUUGUCUGUUAUGUUGGUGCCUUCAUAAUUUCGGCACCUUGACUUUGUAAAUAUUUGUGGUUGCUUCACCUUUUGCAUGCCUUGUGUGGGAUGAAUCAUCUUCGUUUAUAAUAUAUCUCAUUUUAGUUUGUUAAAAAAAAAAAUUAGGCAUGGUUGCUAAGUAGAUUUAAGAAUGUGUAUAGAAUGGCCUCUUGUUUUCUUUUAAUGGAAAGAAGAAUCAUAUAAUCACACACAAAAUGGAAUUAAUUGGAUAUCUUAUUCUAAGAAACGUUUAUUGGAUCCAAGAUGUUAUCAAGUUUGACCAAGAGUAAAAACUAAAUAAGAAAUGAGAUGGGAUCAGAAUAAGUAGGAAUAGGAUUGUGAUGGUGAGAAUUUGCAUUCUUAGAUUCUGAUGAGGUGGGAUCACUAUAGAGUUGGGAUCUAAUUACACCAAAUCUCAACCAUUAAAUUUAUUUGAUCACACGGUUAAAAAUAUAUCAACAAAGGAAAUUACAACAAGAACACAUCACACUCGAUCACAAAAAUAAAUUGAUCGUAAGAUCUUCUUCUUCCCUGGUUAACCUCUCCCCAUCACACCAAUCUGCCAUUAUGACAAGAAAACAAUUAUCCUCUAAAGCAUUGGAUCCUUUGCAUACUACAUAUUUUCACGGUAAAAUCAAGAACUCUUAGAAAAAAAAAUGCAUCAAUUGUUACCCUUUUCUUAGAAUCAGUAUUUAUAGAGAGAUUGGCCCAAUUUUAUUUCAAUUAAAAAAUUGAACGGUGGUUAAAUCUUUCAUUGGAGUUAUUUUGUCACUUUGCACCUGUGAAAGGAACAAUUGGAAUUGUGAAAAUCAAUACUUUCUUAGAAAAGGAAAACAUUGAAACAAACCAGAGAAUUAGGUCACUUGAGUUUCAAAUGUGGAAUCAUGUGUAGCUUAAUUAGUAGAAAGAUAUUCAAUAAAAGAACAUGAUGUUUAUAGCUGUGAAUUAAUCGAUGAUCGGGCAAGAAUAAACUGAUACAGUGAUUCAAGCUAGUUAUGCAAUGGUGGUGUUUAUGUUCAACGUGUAACUCUUUUUGGUGAUCUAGUGUACCGUGUUCUUAUUGUUUCCUUUGUUAAUAUUUUUUUAACCGUGUGAUCAAAUAAAUUUAAUGGUUAAGGUUUGAUGUAAGUCUUUUGACUUAUACCUGGUGUAGCGGAUCCUAACUAUAUAUAUAUAUAUAGGCAAUAAAAGUCUAAAUCCAUCUAUUUCACAUAUUUUCUGUUUUCUUUCGUUUGUUUUUGUGAUUUCAUCGUCUCUGAACGACUCUGUUUGUUUUGAUUUUCUGUCUUAGUGCGGGGUUCAUUUGAUUCAGGUUGAAAGAUUAGCUUUGAGCAAGUGCAGAUCCGAUCAAUGACAAUGACUUUGGCGUCGUCAACGUUGCAGAUCCGGAGACAUGAGUAUCCCGGAGACAUGAAUAUAGUCAUAUUAGUCAUAUUUGUAGGCCUAGGUACUUUGUCGUUUUAUGCGUGCUAUUAACAUGGAUGAUGUGAGUUUGUUCACAGAUUCAUCCUUUUUGUUUUUAGCGAAUUUGAAUUUGUAUUUAUCGAUAUACUCUAUCAAUUUGAAUGAAUAAAUAACAUUUAUUUUUGUAAAAAAAAAAAAAAAAAGUCCAAACUCAUCUUACUACCUAUAAAGAAUUUAAAAAUAAACCUCAAACCUUAUUUCAUUGGGGCAUUUCAUCAAAAAGUUUAAACAUCAUUCCUAACUUCAAAGAUUGGUUAACCACAAAAACUAAUGAUUAUGUUAACUUAAUUAUAUAUAUUAUUCCCUCCAUUUCAAAAUACAUGUCACAUUUGUAUAAUGCGCACUAUUCACAUGAUUUAUUUUGACCAUGCUUUUUAACUAAUAUAUAAAUACAAAUAUUAGCAUGUAAAAUGUUAUAAUUUGAUUUGUCUCAAUAAAUAUUUUCAAAAUAUUAAUUUUUUAUAAUUUUUUACUUCAGAUAAUUGAAAAUAUUAACGGUCAAAGUUGUGCAUUGACAUGUGUGAAGUGAUUGACUGCGACACAAAUUUUAAAACAGAGGGAGUAUCUCUUAUUCCUAAACAAAGCUUUGUUGCCCUAAUUUUAACCUAAUAUUUUAAACUAAUAUUUUAGCAACUUUUCCCUCCUUCAAAACCUAACCAUAUUUCCUAAUUCCCCUCCUCCAAACCCUAAGAGUGUGUUUGGAUGAGGUAAUUUGGAAAUUUUAAAGAAUUUAAAAUUCUAGGCAAUUAUCUCAAAGUAUUUGAAUUCCCUCAUAACAUUACAUUUCCUUAACAUUACAUUACAUUCCCCCAUCCAAACAAUGGAAUUCACCUCAAAGUAUUUGAAUUCCCUCAUAACAUUACAUUCCCUCAAAACAUUCCCCCAUCCAAACACACUCUAACAAUGAUUUUCUAACUUCGCUCCUCCUAAAACCUAUCUAAUUGAUUUCCAUAAACCAUAUCUCCUAACUCCCCUCCAAACUCUCACCAAUAUAUUUUAAUCCUUUCUCCUAAACCGAAAUCUCUUUCUAAAACCAUACCUUUCUCUUAAGUCGAAAUUUCUUAAUCAACAUGGCUUCCAGAAACAUUCAGACUUUGCUGUCAAACUACUGCCUCAUGGUAACCAUAUCUUCAUUUCACUCUGGUUUAUACUAAAUAUAUAGACUUUUGCUCUUAUUCCUUGCUGUUGUAAAGUAUAAAUCAUUCUUUCCAUCCCUUUUAAUCUUUUGUAGGUCCGUUGGUGAAAAACCCUAUUUCCGAUCUUGACAAAGCAAUCAACAAGCUGAGACUGAAAUACAGAUCAUAUAUCGUUGAAUAUGACAUUGAUGCUGUAUGUGUUUUUUGCAAAAUAUACCUAUUCUUAAUUAUUUGCAUUCUAUUUUAUCAACUUUUGUGAUGUUUUUGUUUGUUAUUUUUUUAGGGUGCAGUAUGCUUGCCAAACAUGUUUGGCGGUGAUUUUGGAGAUCAAAUUGGGCGCUAUGCAAUAUUGACUGAUCCACUUUUAUUCUUUAACUUCUUUUAUUCCUUUUCCGCUUAGUUGAUAUAAGUUACAUGGAUUUCUAAUUUUGCAGAUUCUACUUUACACCGGCAAUGUUCCGCAAAUGCUUGAUACACUCAAGACAACUGUGAAUAUUAUCGACGAUUGCGCUAACUUAUGGGUGUGUGAGCUAACUUUUGCAACUUUUCCUUAUGAACACUUCAAGAUAGGAUGGCGUUGGAAUAGGUUUGUGGAAGCUCGCAGGCUCCGUGAAGGUGUGAGAUCAGAGGGGGUGCUCCGAUGGUUGGGUCACAUGAUACCAUCUACCUUGAUGUUAUUUACAAUUAGUCCAUGUUUAGAUAAAUUGUGCAACACCUUUCCACUUUGAAUUUUAAGUUUUAGUUUCUUAGAGUUUUGGAAGCAUCUAUUUUUUUGUCUUUGAAUUUAGCAAAUGUCCCUUGAAUUUCAGAAAUAAUUUAGUCUUGCUUGCUUUAGUUUUUGAUUUAUAUAUUUGUGUUUGUGCUGCUCAAACUAUAUUUAGUAGCAUUGCUGUGUUAUUGAAGCAUUUUAGUAGCAUAGCUUUUAGUAACAUUAUUAGUAACAAUUACUACCUUUUGGUGACACUUUUAGUAACAUUAUUACUUACAAUUACUAAUCCUAAUCUCUAAAAUAUGUUUUGGGUGGAAUCAAACUAAAAUCCUAAUCCUAAUUUCUCUCAUUCAAGUAAUUAAGAAAUUUCAUCCACAUCUCUAAAGUAACUUUUUGGUGGAAACAAACUAAUUAAAAUCCUUAUUUCUCUCAUUCAAAUAAUUACGGGAUUUCAUCCACAUCUCUAAGAUAUGUUUUGGGUGGAAACAAACUAAAAAUCCUAAUUCCUCUCAUUCAAGUAACUACUAAAGAUUUCAUCCACGUCUCUAAAAUAUUUUUUAAGUGGAAACAAACUAAAAUCCUAAUCCUAAUUUCUCUCAUUCAAGUAACCAAGAGAUUUCAUCCACAUCUCUAAAGUAACUUUUUGGCGGAAACAAACUAAAAUCCUUAUUUAUCUCACUCCAAUAAGUAGGGGAUUUCAUCCACAUCUCUAAAAUAUGUUUUGGGUGGAAACAAACUAAAUUCCUAAUCCUAAUUUCUCUCAUUCAAGUAACUAAGAGAUUUCAUCCACAUCUCUAAAGUAACUUUUUGGUGCAAACAAACUAAAAUCCUUAUUUCUCUCAUUCAAAUAAUUAGGGGAUUUCAUCCACAUCUCUAAAAUAUGUUUUGGGUGGAAAUAAACUAAAAAUCCUAAUUCCUCUCAAGUAACUACUAAAGAUUUCAUCCACAUCUCUAAAAUAUGUUUUGGGUGAAAACAAAUUAAAAUCCUAAUCCUAAUUUCUCUCAUGUAACUAAGAGAUUUCAUCCACAUCUCUAAACUAACUUUUUGGUGGAAACAAACUAAAAUCCUUAUUUCUCUCAUUCAAAUAAGUAGGGGAUUUCAUCCACAUCUCUAAAAUAUAUUUUGGGUGGAAACAAACUAAAAAUCCUAAUUCUUCUCAUUCAAGUAUCUAAGAGAUUUCAUCCACAUCUCUAAAGUAACUUUUUGGUGGAAACAAACUAAAAUCCUUAUUUCUCUCAUUCAAAUAAGUAGGGGAUUUCAUCCACAUCUCUAAAAUAUGUUUUGGGUGGAAACAAACUAAAAAACAUAAUUCCUCUCAUUCAAGUAACUACUACACAUUUAAUCCACAUCUAUGUUUUGGCGAGUCAACUAUGGUAAUUCUUAAGUCAAAAAAAAAUGCCCCAUCAAAAAUAUUAAUUUCAUUUUAUACAUAUUAAUCUUUAUCCAAAAAUGUUGAGCAUAAUUUUAUUCCACUUCAACUAGAUCCCUUUGUUCUGCGCCCCUUCCCUAUUUACAUGUCAAUUCUUAAGUAAAACAAAGUGCCCCAUCAACAAUAUUAAUUUCAUUUUAUUCAUAUUAAUCUUUAUCCUAAAAUGUUGGCCACUUCCUAAUUUUGUUCCACUUUUUUGUGCUUAUCCUGAUAACUAAUACUCUUUAUUGCUAAACCGACAUAUCCUACUAACACGUAUUGCACCUUUUUCCUUCAAGUUGCUCUGUCAGCUAUAUUUGCUUAUCUAUGGAAACUUUUUCCAGUCCACCUAAAUAAAUUUAUUCAUUGGCAUAAGUAUUAUUUCAAAAAUUUAUUAUCAUUGUCUUUUAUCAGCGCUUCGACCUCUAAAAGUACAAAAUUUAUUUUUCGAUCUACCUCCGAAAGAUGUUAAUAUUUUUCUGAAUGUUAAAAAAGCAAUAGAUAUAGAGAUUUAGAUCCAUAUUGUGCUUUUAUGAAUGUUACUUCAAAAUUAACUCGUGGUAAUUGUGGAGUGCAAGCCUAACAUGCACCCCUCCAAAGUCACUCUAUCCAUGACGAGGUUUACCUUAAUUUUGUAGAGACUAUUGAUGUUUCUGCUAAAUAUUUUUUCUUUCUUUCUUUUCUUCGGUGACUUGACAUCUUUUCCUUUUUAAGUAGACAGAAUGCUUGACAUGUCUUUUAUUAUGAAAUCUGUUAUACAAAUUGUCUUUGAUCUAUAGUCUAAGUCGUGCUUGAGUUGUCAAAGAUGAAAAUGUAAAUUUGAUCAAUAUUCAAUGUUUAUAGUUUCUUAUGUUAGGACAUCUGUAAUAUGGGAGGAUGGUUGUUGUGCAAAUAAUUCAUUCCUUUAGCCUGACAAGAGCGAAGUAAAUUUACAUUGAAUAGAGGAAAGUGGUAAAUAAUAUCUAAAAUUAAAAUGACAGAUUUUGGAGAUCACCUAAAUAGUAAAAAAUAUAUAAUAAUACAAAUACACAAACUGAUGUUUUUCAUUUUACAGAUACUUUACAAUAAUCAUAUACAAACUGAUCUAAAGCAAAUGGUGAACAAAAAUACUAAAUAGGUGGAAGUUUUAUAGGUGGAAGUUGUAUCGCUAUUUUGUCCUUAUAUUAUAUAUAAAACACGAUGCAAACACUUGAAUAUAUUUCAAUUGGUUCCAUUCAGCACAUUGAUGAAAUAGGAUGUUAAUCCAUGUCGUGUUUUUAGCGUAUCCAACGUAAAUAUAAUGUUUGUAAGAGGUCUUUUAUACUCAAUAUUUUAUAGUUAGCUUAUAUCGAUCUUCCACGAAGUUAAAUGACAUUUGUACAAUCCUUUCUUUUUUUGGAUUAAUUUACCAUGAAGUUAGCUUAUAUCGAUUUUCCAUGUUAUGUUUACAGUUAUAUAUACUAUUGAAUUUCAAAAAUGUGGACUACCGCAUGCACACAUACUGGUGUUUUUGAAGCCAACUUAUCGGUGCAAGAAACCUAAGGAUCUUGAUAAGAUUAUAUCAGCAGAGAUUCCAAACAAAGAUACAGAUGGGGAGUUAUUUAAUAUUGUGACUACGCUCAUGAUUCACGGCCCAUGUGGUGACCAAAACACAAGAUCGCCUAGCAUGCUAAAUAAUAAAUGUAGCAAGCACUUUCCAAUGAAAUUUGUUGAUCAAACUGUGAUCGAUAAAGAUGGUUAUCCAGUUUACAAGAGAAGGGACAAUGGAGUUUAUGUAAAAAAAGGAGAGUGCUUUGCAGAUAAUAGGUUUGUUGUGCCGUAUAAUAAAACACUCCUCUUGAAGUACAAAGCCCAUAUCAAUGUAGAGUGGUGCAACCAAAUUCGGUCAAUCAAGUACCUUUUCAAAUAUGUAAACAAAGGACAUGAUCGCGUCACCGCAAACUUUUACGGUAAUGGAUGUGAAAAUAGUUUGGAUGAGAUAAAGAUGUAUUAUGAUUGUCGGUAUUUGUCCGCAUGUGAAGCGGCCUGGAGAAUAUUCUCUUUUGACAUAAAUUAUAGAGAACCUUCGGUGGAACGCUUAAAUUAUCAUUUGGAAAAUGAGCAUUCAGUUUUGUACGAAGAAAACGACGACAUUGAACAAGUCAUUGAGAGAUCGCAUAGAAAAACUACAAAGUUUUUGGCUUGGAUGAAAGCAAAUGAAAAGUAUCCAGAAGCUAGAAAUUUGACUUACAAUCAAUUCCCGACCCAGUUCGUGUGGAAGGAAAAAGACCACGAAUGGACUCCUAGACGGUGUGGUUUUUCGAUAGGGCGGGUCCAUUUUGCUCCGCCUGGUUCCGGCGAAAGGUUUUACCUAAGAACUCUCUUGAAUUACAUCAAAGGUCCUACAUCUUUCAAUGACAUGAAGACGGUCGAUGAUGUCAAAUAUAAUACUUUCAAGGAAGCCUGCUUCGCUAUGGGGUUACUCGAUGAUGACAAGGAGUUUAUAGACGCGAUAAUUGAAGCCAGUCUUUGGGGCACUGGUAUUUAUUUACGUAGACUAUUCGUAGCACUGAUGGUGACAGAUCAAUUUGCCAGACCAGAGGUCGUGUGGAAUUCUACAAACGAAAAUUUAAUUGAUGACAUACUCCACAAACAAAGGCGGCUUCUUGGAGCUCCAGGAUAAUUUUAGUGCAUAUUUAUUUUUUGUAAUUACAUAUGAAUUAUAUUGGUUCCUUCUUUUUUUUUCAAAUAAUUAUCCAUUUCUCACCUUACAUGUGUAUGUAUUUAAACCAAUAUAAAUACGGUUGUUUCUUCAGAUUACAUGCAAUGACAUUCGUGUAUCUAAUUUUGGUUCCAUGUUUGUGCCAAAUAUUUGUUAUACUCAUAGUUUGCUUAUAUUAUGAAGGAAAAACUAUUUACAUCACAGAAAUUUAUUUGUUCAAGUUUAAAAAAAAAAAAAUAACAUGCAUCGACACGUCUGUUUAUUAUGAGAAAUGACAUGAACAUUGUUGUUUUUACAUGGAUAUUUUCAAUUUACAAGUCACGCUGAUUUUUAACAAACCUUAUUUGUUUCCCAAAUUUACGGUUGACUCAUGAGCAGUUGAAGGCGUAUGCGUUGGCCGAACUAGAAACGAUGUUGCAAAGUUUUGGAAAGAGUUUGUCUGAUUUUCCUCCAAUGCCAAAGGCGGAUGCAUCUUUAGUACCGGAUGUCGAGAGUAGGUUGAUUCACGAUGAGAUGAGUUAUAAUAGGCCUGUACUAGCUGCUCAACAUGACCGGAUGAUGUCAACCAUGACUUUAGAGCAACGUAAUGUAUAUGAUAAAAUAAUGACAAGAGUUAAGGAAGACAAAUCUGGGUUGUUCUUCCUGUAUGGUUAUGGUGGUACUGGGAAAACAUUUAUUUGGAGGGCUUUAUGUGCUGCUUUGAGGUCUGAUGGUGGGAUUGUUUUGGCAUGUGCAUCAAGUGGGAUUGCUGCCUUGCUUAUACCCGAUGGAAGAACUGCACAUUCAAGAUUCGGUAUCCCUUUUACAAUAGACGAAUGCUCUAUGUGUGGAGUUACACCAAAUACACCGUUGGCAUCGCUGCUGAUCAAGGCUAAACUUAUCAUAUGGGAUGAAGCGCCAAUGAUGCACAAGCAUUGUUUCGAAGCACUUACCCAAUUGGGGAAAUCAAUGAUGUCGACAUAUCUGUUGUUAUCCCGUCCGACUUGCUUAUUCCAAGUUCAGGUAAUCCUGUUGCAUCUAUCGUUGAUAGCACUUACCCAAAUUUGUUAGGAAACAUUGGUAAAGCAAAAUAUUGGCGCCAAAGAAUACCAUUGUUGAACAGGUUAAUGAUUAUGUGUUCAACUUGAUUCCUGGUGAAGAAAAAAUCUAUUUGAGUUAUGAUACACCUUAUCAUAAAAACAUAGAUGGUGACGCCGUAGAUGACAUCCACACUCCUGAAUUCCUCAACACCAUUGUGGCGUCCGGAUUUCCAAAUCAUCGGUUGCGACUGAAAGUAGGAGCACCUGUCAUGUUACUCAGGAACAUGGAUCAAAGUUUGGGCUUAUGUAAUGGUACGAGAUUGAUCAUUACAAAGAUGGGAAAAUUCGUGCUCGAAGAACGGGUAAUAUCUGGUUCUAAUAUCGUUGAGAAGAUGUUUAUUCCAAGGUUAUCGCUAACACCAUCUGAUAAUAGAAUUCCUAUCAAAUUUAAACGAAGGCAGUUUCUGAUAUUUGUCUCAUUUGCAAUGACUAUUAACAAGAGUUAGGGUCAGUCGCUAGAACAUGUUGGUGUCUACCUACCGUCUCCUAUUUUUUCACAUGGACAGUUGUACGUCGCAAUAUCACGGGUUACUUCGAGGGGUGGUUUAAAAAUAUUGAUUGCUGACGACGACGGCGAUGAUAUCGAUGUUGCAUCAAAUGUGGUCUACAGAGAAGUUUUCCGUAAUGUGUAGGACUUUUUUGUGUACUGUUCAUUUUCUUACUUAUUGAAACUAUUUGCAUGUCAACGAACUUCAAUUUCCCUUUCAAAAUUAUAUGUUAUUUUAAAGUAACAGGAACUACGUACUAGAAUUAUGGAACAAUAACAAAGUCUUUGAUAUUGACAUUUUGCUUUGAUUCACGACAAUUUUUAGAUUCACGCGAACUACAGUGUCUUAUUUUUUCAGUGAAUAUUAUAUUUUUUAAAUGACACGUGUGUUAGCACGGGUCAAUGGUCUAGUAAAUAAUAACCAUGCAAUCGAAAAUAAAUGCACUAACAAAAUCAAAUUUUGAGCAUUCUACCAAAUGAGUUUUAUCUUUCUGUUGCUUCCCUCCUUUUUUUUUUCUUUUCCAUUUUCUCUUGCCAUAAUUGAUUUAGAGAGAAUUGAUUUAUGUUUGGAGACGAUAAUGUAUGAUUGAUUAAACAUAAUGGAUGUUUGAAUAGUUUUGAUCAAAAUUGCUUUUGAAUGUAUAAUUACUAAAAUGGACAUAACUGCAUACAAAUGAAUGGACAUAGUUGAAUGUAUGUGUAGAUCAAUACUAAAUGUAAAUAUAUUUUUUCUUUUGAAGGAAAAUGUAGAUAUAUUUUUUUUUGAAAGACUAAAUGUAGAUAUAUUAUUUAAUUUAAAUAAAUUUUUCUAUAUGUUAAUUUAAAAAAAUAAAUACAAUCAUUAAACCAAUUAUUUUUGACAAAUAUUUGUUCUAUGUAUUUUAUACUUUUUUAUAAAAUAUAUUUAAGUUAAAUAAUAAUAGAGUUUUGUCGAAAAUCAUAAAAUAUAGCGUCAAACUAAAAAAUACAGUAAAUCUGAACGGAGAAACCGUAAAGAAAAUUCCAAAAUUUGGUAACUCAUGACGAUAAAUAUUUUGUAGGAUUAAUUUGAAUUGUUAAAUUUUUUGAUUAAAUUUGGUUCAUCAAAUUAAAUAAAAAAAAAUAGAAUUGAUAAUGAGUUUAUUGUAUUUAUUGUAAUAAUAAGUAAUAUGAGGUAAACAUCAUAUGCACGGGAGGCUUUUCUUGCACAAAGGCGAUAAGCCCUAUACUACCAAGGAUAUUACUGAUAAGCUCUGUAAGCAAUGGAAAACAAAAUGUCCCUGGCAAUUAAUCUCCCUAGGCCGUGGAUUCUACGAAUUUUCAUUCACCUCGGAUGAUGAUAUGCGCAAUUCUUUAGCAUUGGGGACUGUUAAUCUCAAACCGGGUCUGUUGCGACUUUCACGUUGGUCCAAGGACUUUAACAAGUACUCUCAUAGGCUCACUCACGCUCAGGUAUGGCUACGACUACUUGAUUUACCACAAGAAUACUGGCUUGAAAGAACUUUAAUGGAAAUUGCCGGUGCGAUUGGAGCCCCACUUAUUAUUGAUGCUGCCACGCAGAAACACACUUUCAGUCAUUAUGCAAGAGUGCUGGUUGAUAUUGAUUUCUCUCGUCGGUUAUUUUAUGAAAUCACGGUGGAGAGGGAAGGUUAUGCUUUCCCGGUUGAGGUUGAGUACGAAUGGCUACCGGAUUUUUGCACGCACUGUCAAAUUUUGAACAAAGAUAGCAAUAAUGCCAACAAGGUACAGGACAAAGGUAAACAGCUAACCUUUCAGCAGAAACCGCAACAGACUAAGCAAUGGCAGCCUCUCGAAAAUCCUCACAGCAUUGGGUCCUCAAUUGCUUUUGAACAGCCGCCAUCUGUUUCUGCAGCACGGGUGAUGGAAAUUAUGGUGCCAAUUGCGGUGCCAGAGCAGUCUCCCGAGCAGCAUAUUCCCACAAUUUCUGAUCUGAUUGUUGCUAACUGCUAAGACAGUUAUUCAACCUGAAGUUUCUGCAGCCCUUGGCGCUAGUGUGACCGAUUUAGGUGAAAAAUCUGCAUUCUCGUAUCGCUUGGCGCUUGAAAACGUUACUGAAGAGAUUGUACGUAAUAAUGAUAUCCCCACUGUGGCUGAACCGGUGCUGAAUUUUCCACAUGAAUUAACAUCACAAACAGGCGCAUCUCAAUCCAAUGUGCAGGAAGGAAAUGACUGUGAUAAUGCUGACUUGAUUGUCAAAAAUAAUGCUGAAGUUGUCAGUAAGAGCGACACACCCAAAGAGAUUGCUCCGGAACAGCGGUUACAACAUGAAAUUGUUCCCACAUCAGUCGCACUUCAGCUCAAUGAGGAGGAGGGAUCUGAUGGUGAAAGUGAUGCCAAGGAAAUACUUGCUGACUCACCUGUGUCAAAGUCGCAUCCCUUCGCUACCGUUAUUCCGCAUCGCUGCCCUAUUAUUACUAAAGAUUUGGAAACAAUUCAAAAGGCCCUAGUUGGUUCGAAUGUGGAAGAUGAGGAUGGUUUUACCGAGGUUGUAUCUAAAAGCAGUCGGAAGAAGAAGAAAGGAUAUCAAACCCGCUCUCGGGGUCUGUUACCAAAGUCUUCUCAAUGAAAAUUCUUUAUUGGAACAUUAGAGGUCUAAAAAGAAAAGCAUCAUUAGAUGUGGUACACAAGCAUGGGCCAUGUUCCCAACUGAAUAAGAAAAACAAUGGCAAAGCAAAUAUUCUUCCAACAGACAGUGAUAUUCUUAAACUUGAUAAAGAAAGGGUGAACUAUAGUGUUCGUUCUUGUUACACACAGCAAGAUGAAAUUUUUGAUCCAUCAAAGUCUACUUUUAUUGCAAUAUUUCAUGUACAUGUAAACAUGAUUCAUUGUUCGAAUAGCUUAUGGAUGGGACAAUUGAUUCAACCUGAUUGGGACAUGUUCCAGUAACAUAUUUGUGCCAAAUUUCAUGCAGGUUCAAGAGCUAUCUGUGGUGGUCCAGUUUAUUUGAAUGAUAAUGUUGGCUCUCAUGCCUUUGAUCUGAUUAAGAAGCUUGUUUUCCCUGAUGGUAAAAUUUCGGACAAGCUUGCUAGUCACAGACAUUUUGUUACUGAUUUUGUUUGGUGGGAUAUUAUGCCCGAGUUUGUUUGGGGGGGAUUUCUUUAGGGACCGUGAUGGGUUACCUAAUUUUCGCUUUCCGUAAUUUUUUCUUUUUAUUCUCUUUUGAGGGUUUGGUUUGCCCCCCUCCCUCUUGUGAAGUUUUUCCCGUUUUUUCUAUAUAUAAUAUAUGAGUGAGCGGCAUAAGAUUUGAGUUCUCUAGGGGUGCCGACCUAGUCGGGAUGUCCAGCGGCUCCUUAAUGUCUUCCCUACCUUAGAUUAAGCAUCAUUUCCCCACCUUUAAAUUUUAUAUGUUUGAUUAUAAUUUUUUGGUAAAAUUUCACUUUUGGUAAUUUAAUUUAACUUCAGAUAAUGAUUUGAUCAUUUUCUUUGUUCCAUUUCACUUUUAUCCUUUCGGUGCAUUUGCAUAUGAAUUUCAAGUUUUAAAUCUAUAGUUUAUUUUCUUGUUACCUCCUAAUCUUCAAAUCUAUGAUCUUUCAUUCAUGUUUGCAUAUGAAAGUUAAAGUAGGUGGGAAAUUGUUACCUGGCAUAUAACACAAGGGUUUGUCCUCACAAAACCCCUCACUUAUUGCAAGGUGGGAAAUUGAAAUUCAAGAAUCUGCUGCAUGCAGGCUUGAAGUGACUAAAGUAGGUGGCUGUCAGGAAAAAACCAAGGGAAUAUGCCAAGGAAAGCCCUUGGGAUGGGAAAAAAGGUGAUGAAUCUCUGCUUUGUUUCUUGUUGAUUUGACAAGGCUCUGAAAAGCAUGUCCGGUCCAGUUGAGACAGGGGCAAUACCCCUCGUUUAUUGCAUGAAUCCCUGGCUUUUUUCCUGCCGUUCUGCUACUAUCUGGUACCUAGCUAUAUGCUAGGAUUUGACCAACCAUGCGAGGGGCAUUCCCUCGGAUAGGCCGUGGCUUUUUUUGCUCCCUAUAUAAAUUCAUGCACCGAUCAUGUAACAAACUUCACAACACUUAUAAAAUUUUCUUCACAUAAAACACAACACAUUCACUCAACACAUUCAACAAACUUCAUUUAUUUGGUAAAAAAUAUUUCAUUAAUUAUAUGUUUUAUCAUGAUAUUAAUUUUUACUACUUAUUAAUGUUAUUUAUUUUGUAUGUUAUUUGAAGUUCUGUUACUUAUCCGCCGCCUGUGGUUAGCUAUUGCUCCAACUCUUGCUGUUUUUGGAUUGCAUUGCAGAUCUGCUAUUGUAAAGCUUCAACAAGUUUGUGAUUUUUUUCCCUCAUAACACCAUAACUGAUAUACAUGUUGAUGAUAUGUUCUAAAAUAUGCUAGCUGUCCAUAAAUUGUUUUUUUUUUUCUUUCGAAAAUCUGAAGAAAACAAAUUUAAUUAUGAUUUUUUUUUUCGGUUUUUCAUAUUAUGCAUGAAUUUUGGUUUAUUUUAUUCGAAUUUUUCAAUGUUAAUUGUCGAGAAAUUGAUGCUGAAUAUAUGCAUGUUGUUAUGGGAUAUAUGCAUGUUCUUUUGUGAUAAAAUGAAAUAUAAAUAUAUGCAUGCUGUUUUUUUUUUUUUGUGAUAAAAUGAAAUAUGCAUGUUUUUUUUGUGAUAAAAUUAAAUAUAUACAUGUUGCUAAAUAUAUUGUUAUUAGGUGGAUUUUUAUAUAUUAUAUAAUAUGGUUUAUUUAGUAAAGUAGUUUCUUUUAUUUUUUUUUUUCUAAUUUAGGGAAACUCUAUUUUAAAUUUGUGUAGUAAAACAUAAAUUACAACAUAAUCUGUUUUAUCUAAUUUAGGGCAACUCUUUUUUUUAUAUUUUAAAAAAAAAACUGUUUGUUAAACAUAAUCUGUUUAAAAAAAUUUAUUAUUUAUUCAAUUUUAAAAAGUGAUUAUAACUAAAAAUAUAUAUAAAAAAAGAAUGUACUAAAAUGGUUUAUUGUUGAAAAACUGUUUUAUAAUAAAAGAAUAAAACAAUGUAACAAUGUUAUAUAAUAAAAAUUAAAAUCUGUUUUAAGAAUAUAAUAAAAAUAAAGCUGUUUUUUCAAAAAAUAAAUAAAGCUGUUUUUUUAACAAGUUAAAAUUUGUGUGGUGUUGCUUUAUUUAUAAGCAUUUAAUUGUGUUUUAAAAAAUAAUUUUAAUUUGUAUAAAAAAGAUAUAUUUUAUUAAUUAGAAUGAUUUUUGAACCAUUUAAUUUUAUUUCAAAAAUAACUUUUUAAAAAUAAAUUCGAUUUUUUUAAUUAAUUUAAAUACAAUUUAUUAAUUAAAAUUAUUUUUAAAAUAUUUAAUUAAUUAAUAAACAAUUUGUUUUAUAAAUAAAACAUUUAAAAAAAAUAUAUACCGUUUGCCAGGGGUUAAACACCUUGCAAGUCCCUGAUAUUUUGCUGGAUUGAUUUGACCUUUCACUAGCGCGUCAGAGUAGUUAGUGCAGUCAGAGCACGACUGCACAUUGUAGGAAAAAGUGAGGGAAUAUGCCAGGGAUUAUGACGCGGACAAAGUCAGGCCAUAUGCUAGGGGUUCAACCCCUCGUUUUAUUCCCAUGGGUGUAACCCCUGGCAAAAUGUUAGCGACGAGCGCUUUUGCCACUGCUUCCACCCCUGGGAAAUUCCCUCACAAACGUCCAUUUUCCCAGGGAUUUUGUCCUUUUGACAAGGGAUUUGCCCCUAACAAAAGGUAAUGUUUCUUGUAGUCUUUUUAGAUAAGCUACUCAAAAUAAAAUUAAUUGGAGGGGUGCACAAGGAGUUGAACCGCGAACACACAAUUCAAAUUAAGUGGGAAUGUACCGCUAGGAUGUGCGAAAAACAUAUAUAAGAAUAUACUAACAACAUAUAUUAUAUAGGUUUGAAUAUGCCUUUAGUCCUUGCACUUUCAUCAGAUUUUGGCAUUGGUCCCUACAUUUUUUUUUGUUUGGAAUUGGUCCCUGCACUUUGUAAAAAUAUUGGUAUUGGUCACUCAGUUAACUUUCUGUUAAAAAAAAACACAAAACUAUUUGUAUUGGUCCCUGCACUUUGUAAAAAUAUUGGUAUUGGUCCCUGCACUUUGUAAAAAUAUUGAUAUUGGUGCCACGUGGCACUCCGUUGGUUUUGUGUUUUUUUUUAACAGAAAGUUAACAGAGGGACCAAUACCAAUAUUUUUACAAAGUGCAGGGAUCAAUGCCAAACAAAAAAAAAGUGCAAGGACCAAUGCCAAAAUCUGAUGAAAGUGCAGGGACAAAUGACACAUUUAAACCUAUUAUAUAUAAUGAAUUGUUUAGGUUUAUUAUAUGGAAAAAAAAAAAAAGGGUAAUAAUCUGAUGUGUUAUAGUCACACUCAACCCUACGAUGGGUCCGCCUCUGCAACCAUGAGGAAAAAACAAUUCAUCAGUUUUUGGACAAAAUAAAACUACUAUCAUUUUGGCGCCUAAGACAAAACAUGUAAAUCUUGCUUUGUGAUCUAUUUUGGUGCAUCUUAUGUUAGGUAGAAUGCUUUUUAGACCCCAUUUGUUAUAGUUUUUUUAUGAAAAAAUUCAUUUUUUUUUUUAAAAAUAAUCACUUUGAAGAGUAUUACAUCUAUUUGUUACAACUUUUUAAAAAAUUCAGAAUCUAAAAACAAAAUAAUCUGAAAAAUAGCUUCAAAUGAGAAGCAGUUAAGAGCAGCUUCUCAAAAAAUAGAUUUUUUUUAGAAGAUAGAAAACAAAAUACUAGUCAAAAGAUUUAACUAAUUUUGUAACAAAAAAUUCAUUUUAUAUAGUUACAUCCAAACAAACCAAAUUACUUUUUAAAAAAAAUGGUUUUUAUUACUGCAAACAAAAGAAACAUAGAUUCUCAUUUGAGGGUUCUAGCAUGAGCGCCGUUUUUCAUUCAAUUUCCAAUCCGUCGUUCUUCAAUUCAGGUUAUAUUAUUCUUGGAUAAUUUGUUGCUUCUUGUUAGUGUGAACUGCACCGAUUGUGUUCGCUAUUGAAUUGGUGGCUUAGUUGCAUUUGAACACCAAUUCAAUUGGAUCACGUUUGUUCCAUUAGUUUUACGUAAUUGGAAAAUUCAUUGGAGAAUUGGAAGUUAGCAACAACACUCUAAUCCAAGACCAUUUUACGUGUUUGCUUCCCCUUUUUCCUUCUCUGAUCUCAGCCGCCAUGUUUGAUUGGCAGGCUGAGAUGUCUGCUAUCUCAAUCGCUCCAAAAGUUGCCACAACCCUUUCAGCGCCUGCCCCAUCGGUCUUGCCGAAGGUUUCGUUUGCACAGGCUCUUACGGCCUCCCAUCAGAUUGUCCCCAAUGUCAUGCCAACGCCAACAAUUAUGGGAGAAACACUAAGUAUCAAAAUCACACAGACCCUAUAUGAACGUGGAAUGAAUUUCAGUAAGACCAACCUAUGGGGACGUCUGGUUUUAAACAAUGGAGAGAAAGCCUAUUCUACAAAGGAGAUUGAAUCGAAAUUACAAAAGCACUGGAAGACUGCAGGUUCAUGGCGCAUGAUGUCUCUUGGAAGAGGUUAUUAUGAAUUCUUCUUUGCUUCAGAGAUGGAUAAAUGUGUCUGGGCAGCAGGCACAGUUAUGCAUGUUCUUUUUGAAUGGUCCAAGGAUUUCAAUAUGCAUACGCAGCGAAACACUCACGCUCAGGUUUGGAUUCGCCUGUUAGAACUUCCGCAGGAGUAUUGGAUGAAACAAACUCUCCGGGAGAUUGCAAGUGCGGUGGGAACCCCUCUUGUGAUAGACAAUGCGACAACAAAGAGAUUGUUUGGACACUACGCGAGAAUUCUAGUUGAUAUGGAUUUCACCCGUAAGAUUUUUCAUGAAAUUGUUGUUGACAGGGAAGGAUAUGCUUUCCCGGUUGUCGUGGCCUAUGAAUGGAUUCCCGACUUCUGUUCUCACUGUCAGAAUAUCGGCCAUGACGUCACUGUCUGCAGAAGACUGUAUCCUAGAAAGGAAAUCACAAAGGACAUAACAGCUGCCAAAGAAAUAAUAGCGCAUGGGAAAAAGCAAGUUCAGGCAACAAAAGAUACUUGGAUUCGAAGGACUGAAAACCCUUCAGGGAUCGGUUCUUCAAGAGCAUUUGGCGCAACACAUGACACUACUUCAGCACCGGGUCUUAUAGAAAGGAAAGGGAAGUAAAUGAUAAUCUUCAACAAGAUAUUCGUGUUACUGAGCAAGAAACAGAAGUAACAGCAAUUCCUCUACAAAUUGAACCACAAACGAACCAAGAUGAUGAAAUUCCGGCCCAAAUUGAUUUUCAUGAGGUGCAAGAGGAGGAUAUUGUUCCUGUCAGAUCAGAGGUUGUGCCUGUUGCUGUGCCGAUUCCUAUGCUUGAUGACCAAAAUCAUGAGGAAGAAAUACCUGACCAUAUAGAUGCAACCCCAACAGCAAACCAAGGGGCAGACCGCACAGACAUUACGGGAGGAAUUCCGUCACCUGUGGUAACUCAUACUUCUAGUCCUGUUAUUCAGAAUAAUAAUUUUAGUAUGCAGCUUGAGGGAAAUAAUCUUGAGGGAAAUACUAUAUCUGUUUUAUCUCCCGUAAAAAAUAAAACUCUUGAUAUCAGUAGUAUUGUGGCUCCGGAGGAUUCUAAGAUAGAUCCGGUGCAACAAAAAGACUUAGAUUUUAUGCACACUUGGCUAUCAAAGGCAGCAACAACCGAGGUACCAUUUACACAGGUUGUUUCCAAGUCUCAGAAAAAAAAAAGAAUAUGCAAAAAGUUUCGUAUAAAACCCGCUCUCAGGGUCCUCUUCCACCGUUUAAAUGAAUAUCAUUUUUUGGAACAUCGGAGAAUUGGUAAUCAUGAUUCCUGACUUGCUUUCUCUGAUUGGUGUCGGCUACAUAAUCCGUCAUGGUUAUUUAUUGCGGAACCUAUGGUUUAUUAUGCUUUUAUUCCGAGUUGGUUUUGGGGGAAUGUAUGUGUUACUAAGAAUAACAGGGAGCCUCUCAUUUCUUACAUGUGGUCGGUGUGAGGUUCUGACUCUAUAUAUACAGUAAUUUUUGUCUCUUCUUAGUCUGCAGAGGAACAAAAUUAUAUAUUGCAGGUAUUUAUGGAUGAUUAUUUGUUCUCAUAUUUUCCGUGAUGGAAAUGGUUGUGCGGCUGGCCUAGCAGCCCUAGGACAUGUCAUAGCUGAUGCUACUUGCUUCAUCAUUUUUCCUUCUACGUUGUUGGCGGACUUUGCACAUGACAGGAAUGGGCUACCAAACUAUAGAUUUCCUUAGUUUUUUCUGUUCCUUUUUAUUUCUGUUUUUUUUCCUUAAUUUUGAGGGUUUUGGCCUAGUCCCCUCUUUUGUAAAUAUUUUUCCUUUUUUUUAUUAAUAAUAUUACGUAUUGGGAAGGCGGUAGAGGAUGGAGGUUUCUGUGGGGUGCCAACCUAGUUGGGAUGCUGCAGAUUCUCCCGGAUGCCCAACCUUUCUCUUGGUCUUAUCAAAAAAAAACAUAGAUUCUCAUUUUUCAUAAAAUCUCUAAAAAAUAAUCUAUAAAUAAUUUUACGUGAAAAUGACUUUUAUUUUAAUCCAUAACAAACGGGCUCUUAGUUGGUAAUAUAUAUUCUACUUUGGAAUGUCUGAGAUUCAAGACACCACCAAAAAAUAUAUUCUAUUUUGACUAGGUUUUUUUUUGACAAAACUAUUUUGAAUAGUUAAGAAAAGGCUUGUGGAAUGCACAUUUUGGUACCAAGCACUUCGUGAUACUCGUGUGUCUCGCCUCUCACGAGAUAAACUGGUGGAUGGACGUUUUACUCUUAUUUAUUAUGUGGUGAAUGUCACGUGCUUGUAAAUUAAAGCAUGUGGAUCUGUUAUACUGUACGAAGGAAAAGUUACUUUAACGUAGCUACCUUAAAUCACGGAAGAGGCUGAUGACAAAUGCUUAUUAUAUAUAAGCAAAUGAAACUGAUGUACUUCAUUGGUACCUACCAUUAAAUAUCAACUCUCCCAAAUCCUAAACCCUAAACCCUUAACAGAACCAAGCAACAAUGGAGUCUCAACAAUCCCAUAACAAACUUCAUGUUGUUUUUCUUCCAUUUCCAACUCCUGGUCAUAUGAUUCCUAUGAUAGACACAGCAAGACUAUUCGCCAUGCAUGGUGUUAAUGUUACCAUCAUCGCUACACAUGCCAAUGCUUCAACAUUCCAAAAAUCUAUAGACAGUGACUUCAAUUCAGGAUACUCCAUCAAAACUCAUCUUAUACAGUUCCCUUCAGCUCAGGUAGGUCUCCCUGAUGGUGUUGAAAACAUGAAAGAUGGAAUUUCAUUUGAAAUACUAGGUAAAAUCACCCGCGCAAUAAUUAUGCUCCAGAAUCCAAUUGAGAUUUUGUUUCAAGAUCUUCAACCUGAUUGUAUUGUCACUGAUAUGUCGUAUCCGUGGACAGUGGAAGCAGCUGCAAAACUAGGUAUUCCAAGAAUUCAUUAUUACAGCUCAAGCUACUUCUCCAAUUGUGUUGCUCAUUUGAUCAUGAAGUAUAGACCAAAUGAUAAUUUAGUUUCUGAUACACAGAAAUUUACAAUUCCUUGUUUUCCUCAUACAAUUGAGAUGACUCCUCUGCAACUUCCUGAUUGGUUACAUGCAAAGAAUCCUGCCGCUGCCUAUUUUGAACCAAUGUUUGAAUCAGAGAAAAGAAGUUAUGGAACACUAUACAAUAGUUUUCAUGAACUUGAAAGUGAUUAUGAAAAAUUAAGUAACACUACAAUGGGGAUCAAAACUUGGAGUGUAGGACCAGUUUCAGCUUGGACUAACAAGGAUGGUGAAAAAAAGGCCAAAAGGGGACACAUAGAGGAACUUGGAAAAGAGGAAGAAUGGCUAAAUUGGCUUAACUCAAAGCAAAAUGAGUCUGUAUUAUAUGUAAGUUUUGGUAGCCUUGUUAGGUUUCCGCAUGCUCAGCUUGUAGAAAUUGCGCACGGGCUUGAAAACUCAGGUCAAAAUUUUAUCUGGGUUAUAAAAAAAUAUGAUAAAGAUGAAGAUGGAGAAGGUUUCCUGCAAGAAUUUGAGGAAAGGUUGAAAGAAAGCAAAAAGGGCUAUAUCAUAUGGAAUUGGGCAUCACAACUUCUGAUAUUAGAUCACCCUGCAACAGGAGGGAUUGUGACUCACUGUGGUUGGAACUCAAUUCUUGAAAGUGUGAACUCGGGUUUGCCAAUGAUCACGUGGCCGGUGUUUGCUGAGCAAUUUUACAACGAGAAGUUGCUUGUUGAUGUUUUGAAGAUAGGGGUCCCAGUAGGAGCAAAAGAAAACAAUUUAUGGAUUAACAUUAAUGUAGAGAAAGUGGUGAGAAGAGAAGAUAUAGUUAAGGCUGUAAAGAUUUUGAUGGGAAGUGACCAAGAGAGCAAAGAAAUGAGGAUGAGAGCAAAGAAACUUGGUGAUGCUUCCAAGAGGACUAUUGAGGAAGGUGGAGAUUCUUACAACAACUUGAUUCAGUUGAUUGAUGAGCUGAAAUCAUUAAAGAAAUCUAAGGCACUUGGUGUGAAAGCAGAUUAGAUAAGUCAAAUGAAGGAGUGAUGUUUGAUGCUUCAGGAGGUGUAGCAGAUGAAGGCUUUCAAUAAGAUGAAACAACAUCAAAGUAUUUUUCUCUAUUAUAGAGAUCGUAAUAUUGUAGCAGUUGUUAGUUUUUCCGUAUAAUGGUGGUCUUUGACAUCUCUUUUCUCAGGACUUUUCCUUUUUUAGGAUAGAUCCAGUUUUUCUUUUCGUAUAUUUUACCCAUUGUGACUCUGAUGUAUUGUUUCAGGCCUCUCCUCUCCUGUCUUUUAUAUAUAGUGCUUUGAAAAAAAUAAAAAAUUCUCUAUCAAUAUUUCCUGUUAUCUGUAGUCCAAUAAUCAACAUCCAAUCAUUCUUGUGCAUUGCGAUGAUGAUAAAAGAAGUUAGUGAGUGUUUGGUAUUUACUAAGCAUUUUUCAUUUUAUGCUAAGGAAAAGAUGUGAUGAUGAAUUAAGUUUUGUUGUCUACUUUGGUUUUCUUUAUAAUAUUUAUCAUUGCAUUGGUCAUAUUAAUUUUUCAUUGGUAAAUGAAUCUACCAUAGCUGCCAUUGAUUCAAUGAGUCCAGGACUACAAGGCUAUAAAUUAAAUGUGAUGCACAAAUUUGGUUUGUUUAGGAUCAAGAAUUUAGUUGAGACGUGUUCCACCUCAGUUUUACCAUGUACUAGGAUCUGACUCAGAUUUUACUUUAAGAAAACUGUUUUUUUCCUCCUUAAAAAGGAAAUAGCUCAUAAAGUAUGUCUUUAAACCUCAUCAGAAUUUCCAUUUUAUAAAGCAUAUGAUGAAGCGGGUUCAAUAAUGCUUUAACUGAUUUUUCCAUAACCUACUGGCCUUUUUAUUUGAUAGAUUGAGGAAAUGACAAUUAGUCAUUGGAAACACAGACACACUAAUGAAGGAACCAGAGUUUCAACCCAGAUCACAGCGUCCGACUUAACAAUUUCGACAUUUUUAUCGGUUAAACUGCUCUUAACCAUACCUAUAAACCCCUUACCGUUCAAGCUUGAUUAGUAAUACCAUGCUUGAUUUACUCAAUCACACAUGUUCUAUUUUUUUAUUAGGAUUUUAUCUACUAUACAUCUACAUAUACAAAGUUUUACUUUCAAGAAAAUCUAGGUUGUACUCUCGGAACAAAGUUUUACAAUUAAGAAAUAUAUUUGUUUUAAAAUUUUUAUUUUAAUUUUCAAUUCAUGUUAAUUUUUAAAAUAUUGAUUAUUUGUAAGGUUUUUGUUUUGAAAUGUUAAUACUUUAAAGAGUGCUAAGUAAGUUUUUUUUUUUUUUUUUCCUUUCUAUUUUGCACUUUUGCCAUUUUUUUUCUACGUCCCCACAGAUCUCCAAGGGAAUUCCAUCAACAUACAAAUACUCCUCACCGCAUGGUGUUUGUGAUCAUUUUUCUGUUCUGCUCGGGUUCGCGAUCGUGAUUUUUCUCAGGUUCUCCCUCUAAUUCCUGUUCGUGUUUCUCUUCGCUUUGUUUCCUCCAUACCCGCCUUGCCAUGUUUGAUUGGCAGGCAGAAUUGGCAGCUCCGGCCUCUAUGUCGUCGGCUCCCUCACAUACUACAUCUCCUCAGAUUGCUACGAUUGCUUCAUUGUCUGUCUCGGACUCUGCUCAGUUGAUUCCAGUCCCUCCGAAAUCCUUUGUGGCGGCAUUAGGGGGCUAUCGUUCUUCCCCUUUGGAAGAGUCUCCUUAUCUGGUUUCAUGCAUUAAGGGGGAUGCUCUUUCCAUUAGAAUUGAUCAGGAUGAAUAUUCUAAGGGCCUGGCAGAAUGUCAAUAUGCACUAAGCGGACAACUGACCUUGAAUAAAGGAAAUAAACCAUACACAGCUCAUGAUGGACCGUUGUAAUAUAUGAAUUAGUAGUUGAUACUCUCUUAUUUAAUAAUAUUAUUCAGUCUUUAUUCAGAAUUAUUUGUGUUCAUUGCUUUUCAUAUAAUUGCUUGUAUGACUAUUAACCCUAGCUUCUUGAAUUAUAUGAAUUGAUAUUAAGAAUUGAAUGACUAUUAACCCUAGCUUUUAAUCCUGAAUUAGUAAUUUUGUUUGAUUCAACAUAGGAACCUAGAGAUAGGAAAUUGAGAAUCAUGACAUAUGAAUUAACGUUCUUUUAUCGCUUCUGCAGUUAUUCAAUCAGUUUAAGAGAUUAAAAGGUUAUAACUUAGGAAAGGGUUUUGACUCAAGAGAUUGAUCAAAACUAAUUUGUUAAUUCGUCGUAAAGAAUGAAUAGUAAUUAGUAAAUAAGGGAGGUAAUUACUCAUAUAGAACAAUAGGGGAUUCAUCGGCUUAAUCAUUCUUCUUUAAUCAUCUUUUCAAACAACCUUUAUUUACUUUUGUUAUACAAAAAUCAUCUGCCUAGGGCAAUCAUAUAACUUUUACAUAUCCUAAAAUAAUAACGUGCUUGCUAUAAUUGGAAUUAAUACAGUCCUUGUGGAACGAUAUUUAUUACUACUUUGAUAGUUAUUGGUACACUUGCCAAUUAUCUAUCAUGAAGCCAUAUACAUGUAUAUGAUGGCAAUUCAUGCUUUAAUGCACGUGGUAAAUCAGUUUUUGAAUAUGAUGUGUGGUGAACAUGUUUUAAGAAACUUCAUUACCAGCAAGACAUAUUUUGCAUUUUUCCUAGUUUGUUACUUACCGAAUAUAUUUUGUUUUAUCUUUUUGUUAUGCAGUUAUUUGUUUUUCUCUUUUUGAUGUACCGGUACAAGCUCGAUUUUGAAUUUAGAGAUCACUUUGUUUCGGAAAAAAAAUUAUUUGUUUACUAUUUCUAUCAUUCACGGUUGAAAGUUUGUUCUUUUUCCGCUAAAGUUCAUUGAAUCCUUUGAAAUAUUAAAAUCCCAUAAAAUCCUUUGAAAUCCUUAAAAUUCAGUGUGAUAAAUCCCAUAAAAUCCUUAAAAGUCAGUGUGAUAAAUCCCUUAAAGUCUUUUAAAAUCUCACAUAAUCAAUACAAUCCCACAAAGUCUUUUAAAAUCCUAAUCCAAUACACCCCCCUAAAUUAGGCAAGGUUUGGAUGAUGGUUCACCAAUGGAAGAUGGUUUCGCUCGGUAAAGGAUACUAUGAUUUUCUUUUCGAGUAUCUUGAUAAUUUAAGUUGCAUUUGGGCGGCUGGCACUAUUUCACUUCAACUAGGUCUACUUUGUCUCUCUCAAUGGACGAAAGACUUUAACCACAACACUCAGAAACAAACUCAUGCUUCAAUAUGGAUUAGGCUAGUUGAGUUGCCUCAAGAAUAUUGGCGUGAUAGAACGUUGAAAGAAAUAGCUAGCGCCGUGGUUACUCCAAUCUCUCUCAACGCCCCGACAUGAAAUAGGGCCUUUGGACAUUAUGCAUGCAUUCUGGUGGACAUUGACUUGUCAAAGAGGGUUUAUAAUGAAAUUCUCGUUUAACGGGAGGGUUUCAACUUUAAGGUGGAAGUCCAAUACGAACGACGUCCGGUUUUCUGUCAUCACUGUUAUGUCAUUGGACAUAAUGCAUGAUGUGCAAGUUGUUGCACCCAGAGGCCUCUAAGGAUACAGAUCGUGGUAAAAAAAGUAACUGAACCAAAUAACAAAUCUACUCAUCAGCCCCAUGGUGCGAGAGGAGCUUCUUCCUCUGGUACAUUACAAUACGUGGUUGUUGUAACCGCACCAGCAGCUGCCACAGUUGGUGAGAAUGCUCCACAACCCUUUGUUCCCCAUAAAGAUGUUGUGGCAAGUUCUUUAAGUUUUGCUUUGCAAGACUUUUCAGAUGCGAUUCCUCAAGGUGUGUUACCUCAUUCAAACAUACCUGUGUUGGAAUUGGCGUCAGAUGUAGCGCACAAUGACAUACAAAAUUUUGAAGAGGAAAGAAUACUUCAGGAAACUAGGAUCGUUGACAUUCCAAAGGAUCAUGUUGAUUUUGUUCCGCCUGUUUACACCGUUGAGCACGUUGACGUGCAUGAAGAGGUGGGUGGUAAUGUUUUGUCCCAGGUUAGGGAGGUUAGUUCGUCCACUCAGACCACAGCUGCACAAGCUGACACUAUGGUGUCCCCUCAAGAUUUGGCAGCGGUCUAGUUGCCUGUACAACAUUUUCCCCACGAAGAUGCAGAUAUUGUUGUCGAUUCCGCACCUAUCAGCCUCCUGUGACAAAUUCUGAAAUGGUUAUGGAUGCCUCAUUGGAUGGAACUUGCGGUGACAUCACUUCAAGUCACAUUAUUACCUCCCGAUAGCCGGACCCAAAAUAGUAGGUGUUGGGAUCACGUCUGUCGUAACUGAAUCCACCGUUACAAUUGUUGUCUGACAUGAAAUCGAGUGGUGGUAUAGUAAAUCCACGUCCACCAAGUGGGCUACCGCGACAUUUCCUAUGUCGUCAUUGUUGUUGUUCUUGUCGCGAUUUGUAGUGUUGUUGGCGUUCCCGCCGCCACCUCCACGUCCUCCCGUAUGGGUUCUGCGGCCAACCCCAUGUCUACUUGCACCGUUGGGUCGAUUUGGAUUGAAGAGUGAAUCUUUCAAUUAAGUGGCCUAUGAAAAACUGGCGAUUAUUUAAUUGUUUUUAAGAUACACAUUAUUUAGUUGUUUUUUUUCUACCUUUUUAUAUCUAUGUGUGUGUCUAAAUCCUGUAACUAUCCUUUGAAAAAAAAAUCUUGUGACUAUCCAAAACUUUCUUCGGAAAAACAUUUUAUGUCACUCACCAAAACUAAAACUUAAAUAUCAACUCUCCAAGAAAUAAAACCACACAUCCACCUCAUAGAUUCCAAAAGCAACAAUGGACUCCCAAUAAUCCCAUAACAAACUUCAUGUAAUUUUUGUUCCAUAUCCAACUCCUGGCCAUAUGAAUCCCAUGAUAGCCACAUCAAGACUAUUUGCAAAGCAUGGUGUUAAUGUCACCAUAAUCUCGUGUAGCUCGUGUCAUUAUUUCAUAAUACCUCGUGUCAGACAAGGUUAAGCAUCCUUUACAAUGCAUAAUAAUAAAAAAAAUAAAAAAAAAAAUCAUCAUUAUUUCAUAAUACCUCAUUUGUUUAUUUCCUAAACCAUACUAGAUAGUGGUAUCGGUUUAGUGGAUUUUUUUUUAUGAAGCAUUGACAUGUGUAGCAAUGAUGGUUUCACUUAAAAUUAUAGAAAAAUACAAACAAUAUGUUGUUAAUUUUUUAUUUAUGGAAAGUCCUAACAAAUACCUUAAGGAUACUAGUUGAGGAAGUAAAUAUAGUUAAAAUAUUUUAAAAUUUGUAUAGUUAAAUUCAUAAUGUGUAAAAAAUAUCAUUUUCAAUACAAAUUUUACAUUUUUGUUUUCUUAACUAAUGUCCAAAGGCAAUAGUUGGCAUGAUCAUUUAUUUAUUUAUUUUAUGAUUGAUUCUAUCUAUACAACUUAAAAAAAUUCUAUCGUGCACAAGUAACAUAUAUUUUACAUCAUUCAUUAGUUUUUACAAUUGAAUUAAUAAAUUCAACCGGUAAUUGAAAUAUCAUAUGACUUAUUGAUUCAUUAGUAAAAAAAUAUUUGUUCAUAUUGUAAAAUUAUUUUAGUUGAGCAUGUUAGACAAAAUCAUGUUUUAUUAUGUAUCUAUUUUGUAUAGUACACCUUUUGCAGUCUUUUAUGUAUUUUUUUUUUUUUUUAUGUCAGCAUGUCCUUGAAGUCUUUUUUAUGUAUUUUAGUUGAGCAUGUUGUACAAUGCCUUCUUUUAUUAUGUAUUUAUUUAUGACAAAAUCAUAUCGUAACAUAUUAGUUUUAAGUUUAUUUUAAUCACACAUAAAUCUUUUAAGUUGUAAAAGUUUUGAUUUAGUCCUUCUGUCACAUUAUCAUUUUUAUAAUGUUUGGUUAACAGAAGGUCUAAAUAAAAAACGUUUACAAUCAAUCUUAAAGGACUUAUGUGUGACCAAAAUAAUUUAAAGGACCCAAUGUUACACACCUCAAACUUAAAGGAAUUAUGUGCUACUAAAAUAACUUAAAAAUCAAUCUGUUACAAAUUUUAAACUUAAUUGACCCCUAGUAUAAUUUAGCCUAAUUCUUUCUAUCAUACUUUUAUUGCGUUCUUAUUCUCUAUUGCAUUGGUUUUCGUGUCAAUACCUAUUACCUUGGUUGUUCCACAAUUUAGCGCAAAAUGGGCGUUCAAAUAAAAUAGCUCGGUAGAAAAACAAUCUAUCUUGGUCACAGAAAUAGAAACUGAACUUUAAAUAUCAACAAUCUCACAACCAACUUCAUAUAAUUUUUCUUCCAUUUCCAACUCCUGGUCAUAUGAUUCCUAGGAUAGACGCAGCAAAAAUUUACUAUUCAUGGUUUGCCUCAUACUAUUGAGAUGACUCCUCUGCAGCUUCCUGAUUGGUUAGGGACAAAUCAUUCUACCACUGCAUAUUAUAAACCAAUUUUUGAAUCAGAGAAAAAAAGUUACGGAACACUAUACAAUAGUUUUCAUGAACUGGAGAGUGAUUAUAAAAAACUUAGUAACACUAUCUUGGGGAUCAAAUCAUGGAGUGUAGGACCAGUUUCAUCAUUGGCUAACAAGGAUGAUGAAAAGAAGGGUAAUAGGGGACACAUGGAGGAGCUUGCAGAAGAGGAAGAGUGGCUAAAUUGGCUUAACUCAAAGCAAAUUGAGUCCGUACUGUAUUUAAGUUUUGGAAGUGUAACUAGGCUUGAUAAUGCUCAGAUUGUAGAAAUUGCACACGGUCUUGAAAAUUCAGAUCAUAAUUUUAUCUGGGUUGUAACUUAUAAGGAAAAAGGAAAGAGAUGAGAGUGAAAACACUUUCCUACAAGAUUUUGAGAAAGAAUGAAAGAAAGCAAAAAGGGAUAUAUCAUAUGGAAUUGGGCACCACAGCUUCUGAUAUUGGAUCACCCUGCAACAGGAGGGAUUGUGACUCACUGUUGUUGGAACUCAAUUCUGGAAAGCGUGAACUCGGGUUUGCCAAUGAUCACAUGGCCAAUGUCUGAGGAGCAAUUUUACAAUGAGAAGUUGCUUGUUGAUGUUUUGAAGAUAGGGGUCCAAGUAGGAGCAAAAGAAAACAAGUUCUAGAUUAACAUUAGUGUAGAUGAAAUGGUGAGAAGGGAAGAGAUAGUUAAGGCUGUGAAGAUUUUGAUGGGAAGUGGCCAAGAGAGAAAAGAAUAAAUUCAGCAUCACCAAGCUGAAUCAACUGAAUGAAGGUAUUCCAAAGUGAGCCUGUAUUACUAAAUAGAAACCAUGCUUCAAUUUUCAAUUCUAUUAUAACCUACGAAAGCAUUCAGAGUUUUCCCACAACACACUCAGCAUCACAUCAGAGUUCACUGAUACUUCUCAUUAAAGGCAUGUUUGGUGUUCGAUACAAUGUGAUUACACUUGGUUAUGUUAUUUUUUAAAUUCCUAUCAGUGUCAAUGUGUCAUUGUCGUGUUUGGUGUCUGUGUCAUUGUUUCAUACAUUAUCAUACACUUUUUCUCAUAAGUUAUGAGGAUUUUCUCAUGUUGUUUUAAAUAUAUAGCUUUCUAUAUAACAACAUGAUGAAGAUCCUCAACAUGUUGUCAAAAAUACAAAGAAACACACCAAAGAAACUAUGCAAAUUUUUGUCAUUGUGCUGAGGGUCUACCUAAUGUUGUCGCAAAUAGAUAGCUCUCUAUUUAACAGCAUUAUGUAGAUCUUCAGCAUGCUUUCAAAAAUGUUGCUCUCUAUUUGAAUACCAAGAGGUUUGCUAUGAGUUAGAUCUUAUUGCCUUGGCGAUAGAAAUAUCUCAGUUGGCAAGGCAGCAGGAUCUAACUCAAAACAAUCAUCUUGAAACACCUUGUUGUAGAUCUGAAUUUGAAAAAGUUUUUAUGAGAGCUCGACCCAGAUGGCCUUCCGAUAGAUAUAUGUCAGUUGGCAGGCCAGCUGGAUCGAGUUCAAAAGCACCUCUUCGAACAUCAUCCUAGAAUAUGUUGUUGUUUAUGUUUGUUUUAAGCUGCUUACUUUUUUUAUGCAUUUAUUAAUUAUUGUUUAUGUCACAUUCCAUGAAAACUCUCUAAAUAACCCCUCCAAAUAGGCAUUAUGGUGUUGUCCGGAUUAUACAAUCCGGAAUGUUUUGGACGGUGCAUUUCACCAAAGGUUUGGCCAGUUAGUGGGUUUUAAUGCGUUGUUUGGACGGUUUUGAAUGACUAACAUGUUUUGCUUGAUUGUACUUAUGACCUAGGACAUGUUUUAGGUUAUAAAUAGGCAUGCAUGUUCAACAAAUUCCUUCAUUCUUCACUUCACCUUUUUACUUUCAUUUUCUUCAAAAAAAAUUAGUUUUGUAGGGCUGUUUGUGAUGUCAUGGUCAUAGUUGACCGUUCAUAUAACCCCUACAAUUGCUUUGCAGCUUAUGCGGGGGUUAUAUAACGGUCAACAGAGACCUUUAACAUCAAAGAAAACACCAAAAAUCUCAUAUCGAAACUAUACGAAUUUUGUUUUCCGGAAAUCUUUAACAAUCUAGUUCGGAUUACAUAAUCCGAACUAGGGGUAUUUUUGAUUUUUUCGUAGGGCGCACGAGAAACAGGCAGGGUGAAAAAAAGUAAUAGUCUAAAUGUUAUUAACCAAAAAAGUCAAAGGGGUUUAAAGCAAGGAGACUCGUUGGGCCUUUCUUGAUUCUUUUAUUGGCAGAGGUUUUUGGUGGUUUGAUGAAAAAUGUGGUUAAUUUGAAUUUGUUUAAUGGUUUUUAGGUGGGGAGGGAUGGUUUGACGGUUUCCCAUAUUCAAUAUGUGGAUGACACCCUUUAUAAGGAGAGGCGUCAGGGACAAUCUUUGACCCAUGAAAGGUUUGUUAAGAGGUUUUGAGCAACUGUCGGGUUUGAAGGUUAAUUUCUUCAAGAGUUGGGAGUUCGUGGAUACAGUUUGUAGUUUUUCCUUGUUUGAGUCUUCUGAUUGAGGCAAAUACUAGGUAGUUUCUUCAAUUCGCUUCACUACUUGGUUUGUGCGAUGAAAGCUUUCAAUAUGCAUUUUAAAAACAAAAUCUAAACCUAUCACUCCACCGGGGCAUUUCACCAAACAAUAUGUGUUAAUUCUCAAUAAAACCUAGGAAUACAAAAACAAAUACAUUGCAAAGAUUUUCUUAUACAUACAUACCUCAUUCAUUCCUAACUUCAAAAUGGAUUAACUAUUCAGCAAAAACAUUAAAAUUGUUUAUGAGUCAAUCCCAUGAAUUCGGAAUAUCUGCUAAAAGGAAGACCGGCAGAGGCCGGUUCUUUCGAAUUUUCAAAAAAAUAAAAAAAAAACUAUGUUAAACGUUAUUAUAUACUCUUAGCUAUUACCAAAUGAUUCCUUUACAUUUUUAUUGUUUCAUUUUUUUUUAAUGUUUUUUAAAGAUGAUAUUAAUCUCGUCAUUCUCCGACAAACCUCCAUGUACUCAGCUCCCUUAUAUUCUUAAUUUUUUUAUUAUUUUGAAUAUCUAUUAAAUUUUUUUUUUUAUGAAAGAUGAAUAUCUAUUAAUUUUGAAUAUAUCUUAUAGCUUUUAAAUAUCUUCUAUAUAUAUAUAUAUAUAUUAUGCAUGUGAGAAUUUAUUUUUUCCUCAUUAAAUAAUAUUCCUACUAAGUUUCCUCUAAGCUAAAUUCUUGGUUCCGUGAAAACAUUAAACUAAGUCUUUGAACUAACAAAUUUUUCUUAAUAACCUAUUUAAAAAUAUGUUUUAGUUGAGUAACCUAUUUAAUUUUUUUAAAUAGUUCACAUAUUUAUAUAAUAAUUAAACCUUUAUUAAAAUAGCCUACAAACUAUUCCAUAAAUUUUAAAAUACAUGUCGUAGUCAACCAUUUCACACAUGCCAAAACACAACUUUGACCGUUGAUAUCUUUAAUCACCUAUAGUAAAAAAAUUAUAAAAACUUAAUAUUUUGUAAAUAGUUAUCAAAACAAAUCGAACAACAUCUUAUAUUUUGUAAAUUAUAAAAUCAAUGCAUGUCCCACCACCUCAUGUGGGUUUCAUUUUCAAAGUGUAGGUCCUACGUUGAUUUUACCCAAUAAAAGAGUGAGUGUUAGAGAAAGUGUUCAAAAGAGAGUGUUGUUAUCACUCCUCAUGCUAACAUUUGUAUUUAAUUAUAUACUAAAGUUAAAAAAUUGAAUCAAAGUAAGUUAGGUGAACAGUGCACAUUGAAACAAUGUGACAAAUAUUAUUAAGUGACACAAUUGACCUUGUCACACAUACCAAUGCAAAUUUUGAUCUUAAAUAACUUUACUGAUCUCUUAGAAAAAAAAUAUAAAAAUUUUAUUUUUUGAAAAUAUUCAUCGAGAGAAUCCAACGACAUCUUAUAUGAAAUUAUUUAUCUUUGUAUAUUAGUAGAAAAAUACGAUCAAUUUUUUUUUUUUUCGAAGGAACAGUCAAUAAUGCAUAUUUUCAAAUAUGUCAUCUAUUAUAGGACAGAGGGAGUAAUGUUUUGACAUAUCGCAUGGAUAGAUGUCAUGUAAUAUAAUAAUGUCACAUCAAUGUUUUUCUGUGAGGUCGUAUUAUCAAUGUUCUAAUGUAACACUCUCUAGAACAUAUUUACUCUUGGUUUCCUCAUUACUAUUUUUUUAAUAGGGUAUCACCAAGUGUAUAAAUUAGAGAAAAGGUGACUGAACAGCUGCCUCUUUUUUCUUAAGGAGGUGUACACACAAACACAAUUCUUAAUUACUUAACAAAGAAGGAAUGGAAGCAAACAAAGUAAUAACCAUUUUUCUUUUGCUUUUGAAUACUAUUGUGGGAUGAAGAGGUGGCAUGUUCCCACUUUGAAAAACAAUUAAUCUCAGCCACAAAAACUACCUUUAAAUACCAACUCUUCAAGUAACAGAAACACCCUACCAUCUCAAAGUUUUCAAAAGCAAUAAUGAAAUCUCAACAAUCCCAUAACCCACUUCAUGUAACUUUUCUUCCAUUUCCAUCUCCUGGCCAUAUGAUUCCUAUGAUUGACACUGCAAGACUAUUAGCCAAACAUGGUGUUAAUGUAACCAUCAUUACUACACAUGCCAAUGCUUCAACAUUCCAAAAAACCAUAGACAGUGACUUCAGUUUAGGAUACUCCAUCAAAACUCAUCUUAUUGAAUUCCCUUCAGCUCAAGUUGGUCUUCCAGAUGGUGUUGAAAAUCUCAAAGAUGGAACAUCCUCAGAAAUUCUUAGUAAAAUCAACCGUGGAAUAUCGAUGCUUCGAGAUCCGAUUGAGGUUCUGUUUAAAGAUCUUCAACCAGAUUGUAUAGUCACUGAUAUGAUGUAUCCUUGGACAGUGGAAGCAGCUGCAAAACUAAACAUUCCAAGGAUUCACUUUUAUAGCUCAAGUUACUUCUCCAGCUGUGCCUUUCAUUUUAUCAUGAAAUAUAGGCCUCAUGAUAAUUUAGUUUCUGAUACACAGAAAUUUACUAUUCCUAGUUUUCCUCAUACCAUUGAGAUGACCCCUCUGCAGAUUCCUGAUUGGUUAAGGGAAAAGAAUCCUGCCACAGCCUAUUUUGAACCAAUUUAUGAAUCAGAGGAAAAAAGCUAUGGCACACUAUACAAUAGUUUUCAUGAACUAGAAAGUGAAUAUGAGAAACUUUGUAAUACUACAAGGGGGAUCAAAUCUUGGAGUGUAGGACCAGUUUCAGCUUGGGCUAAAAAGGAUGAUGAAAAGAAGGGUGAUAAGGGGCACAUAGAGGAGAAUGGAAAAGUGGCAGAGUGGCUAAAUUGGCUUAACUCAAAGCAAAAUGAGUCUGUACUUUAUGUAAGCUUUGGAAGUUUAACUAGGCUAACUCAUGCUCAGCUUGUAGAAAUUGCACAUGGGCUUGAAAAUUCAGGUCAUAAUUUUAUCUGGGUUGUAAGGAAAAAUGAUAUGGAUGAGAGUGAAAACAGUUUCCUACAAGAUUUUGAGGGAAGGAUGAAAGAAAGCAAAAAGGGCUAUAUCAUAUGGAAUUGGGCACCACAGCUUCAGAUAUUGGAUCACCCUGCAACAGGUGGAAUUGUGACUCACUGUGGUUGGAACUCGAUUCUUGAAAGCUUGAAUGCUGGUUUGCCAAUGAUCGCGUGGCCAAUGUUUGCCGAGCAAUUUUACAAUGAGAAGUUGCUUGUUGAUGUUUUGAAGAUAGGGGUCCGAGUUGGAGCAAAAGAAAACAAGUCAUGGGAUAGUAUUUGUGUAGAGGCGAUGGUUAGAAGGGAAGAGAUUGCAAAGGCUGUUGAGAUUUUGAUGGGAAGUGGACAAGAGAGCAAAGAAAUGAGGAUGAGAGCAAAGAAACUUGGUGAUGCUUCCAAGAGGACUAUAGAGGAAGGUGGACA
This 36276-nucleotide long non-coding RNA is filed under the name Medicago truncatula (barrel medic). RNAcentral describes it as "long non-coding RNA (MTRU_LNC005255)". The stretch from base 32343 to 32436 matches the Rfam family "MIR2587 microRNA precursor family". The record is from RNAcentral. Lineage: Eukaryota; Viridiplantae; Streptophyta; Magnoliopsida; Fabales; Fabaceae.